UGAUUUGCUAGGUUUAGCAAAAAUAUCAGGAAUCUGCCCAGAAAAUUGGUUGGACUUCAAAGCCAAGAAUUUGAGUUUCUUAAUCUUACCAAGUGAUGGUGGUAUACAGCCAGAGAAAUUGGAGAGAUCCAAGUACUCCAAAGACUUGAGAUUGCCAAAUGCUGCUGGAAUCGAGCCAGAAAAAUUGGCGAAUGAGACAUCCAGGUACUUCAAGGACUCGAGAUUGAC
This 228-nucleotide unclassified non-coding RNA is filed under the name Hevea brasiliensis (rubber tree). The record is from RNAcentral. Lineage: Eukaryota; Viridiplantae; Streptophyta; Magnoliopsida; Malpighiales; Euphorbiaceae.